GUGCCAGCAGCCGCGGUAAUACGGAGGAUGCAAGCGUUAUCCGGAUUUAUUGGGUUUAAAGGGUGCGUAGGCGGAUAAAUAAGUCAGUGGUGAAAGCCUGCAGCUUAACUGUAGAAUUGCCAUUGAUACUGUUUAUCUUGAGUACAGCUGAGGUGGGCGGAAUAUGACAUGUAGCGGUGAAAUGCUUAGAUAUGUCAUAGAACACCGAUUGCGAAGGCAGCUCACUAAACUGUCACUGACGCUGAGGCACGAAAGCGUGGGGAGCAAACAGGAUUAGAUACCCCUGUAGUCC
RNAcentral lists this ribosomal RNA (292 nucleotides) under uncultured bacterium. RNAcentral describes it as "partial 16S ribosomal RNA". It matches the Rfam family "Bacterial small subunit ribosomal RNA", at positions 505 to 796 of the family's 1533-position model. The record is from RNAcentral.